Molecule: non-coding RNA, 2778 nt
Organism: Physcomitrium patens
Lineage: Eukaryota; Viridiplantae; Streptophyta; Bryopsida; Funariales; Funariaceae
Source: RefSeq, a predicted model, not a curated record
AAUUCGGGAAGUAUAACUAUGUGGCUUGUCUAGCUCCUCUCAUCUUGCACCUGAAUUCGUUUAGGCUUUGAUUUUUAUGCUCGACAGUACGACUCAGUUCUCAAUCGUAUAUUGUUGUGGAGACUGUCAUCUUCUCCAUAUUUUUUUGGUGUUUGUUUCUUUGAUUUAGAGUUUGUUCUGCGUGUUACGAGGAAGUAGGGUUACCUAAACCAGUUACUUCUUUACUGUAUUCGUUGGGUUGAUUUCUUGCUGCUUUAUAAGGACCGCCCAAUGAUGCAAAACCUAUCUCUGAGAUGCCUCUCGGGGUGAAUGAGAGAGACAAUCUUCCAAAAUACCAAAAAUGGCUUUGAGGGUUACUGUGUUUCGAUUUCAGUUUUCCAUUGUUUAUUCCUGAAUGGCUUCGGGCCUGAAACGAGUUUCCGGAGGUGUCCGGACUCGUUUAUAGAGUGGCUGAGCGAAUUGAUAACUCGCUCCCCAUAUCGGCAUUACCUUGAUGAAGUAUCCAGAUGAUAUAUAUCUGUUUUACCCAUAGAGGAUGAGUCGUCGUUUCACAGUAUGUCGUAGCACAACUGUUACCUGAUUGCCCAAUGAAGAAGAUCAUUGUCUGAUGCCCUCUGGGUAUUUGAAGGAGACAAAAACCAAUAAUACCAAAAAUGGCUAUGAGGGCAUACUGUUUUAAUUAAUCGCUAGUCUUUCAACUUGUUAAGUCAUGAAGCUUUGUCGCUUUCCCGCUUCACUAAUCCAUUGCCCAAUGAAGAAGAAAUUUCUCUGAAGCCUCUUGGUGCGUGUAGGAGACAACAAAAAAUACCAAAAAUGGCUAUGAGGGCAAUUCACAGUGACUGACACAGCUCUCUUGAGGGACUGGCAAGAAGUAUUUGUCGGGGAUUUGGAUUGAUUAUAGAUAUGGACUGAAUAACACGUUCACUAUCCAUUCAUCAGAGUGUAUAAUCGAAGAAAACUCUUAAAAAAAAGUGAUGGUCUUAACUGUUAAAUAUCCGCGAUGAAAAAAAAUGACCACUGGCUCUUUCUCACUUGCCCCGUAACCGGCCCCACAUUCGAAUUGCGCAAGACUGUUGGGCUAUUUAAUGAGCGAUUCGUAAUAAUUUACACGUAAGUGUACCCGCCCACCAACUGCUGCAACUGUUUGGCUACAUACAGAUUUGUCAUGUGGGACACAGUGCGUCGUAAUUCUUGCAGUACUGUGUGAGCUUUUGUGAGUCCAACCUAACCGUGAAGUUUGGAGUCGGAUUGUUUGGAAGUUUUUACUAUCAAGAACUUUCGUGUCAGUAGAAGCACCAUCACUGCUCAGCGAAUGAUGAAGUUGGAUCCGUGAGUAAGUGUUAAGCGCAUUCGCGUACAUACUGCAUGAAGCUUGGUAUGUCAUCACUGAUUUUGGCAGUUCAAAGCAAAGCCCGUAGUGGGAAGAUCGACAGCUCUUACACAAGCAUACUUUUGUGUGAUGUGGUGUGUACAUAGUUUGACCGUAUGGUUACUUCUCUCGGAAUCUGUCGACACUACAACUGGCGAAUUAGAAUUCUCUUUUGUUGGAUCGGUGUAUAACGAUGAAAAGUCAUCCCCAUUGUCAACACAUCAACUCUGUUGAGUGCAAUGAACACGCAAUCGUACCCAUUUCAGGUGGAGUUGACGGCAAUUUUUGUUCACGGUAUUCAUGUCCGAAUAGAUUCGAUCCUAUCCAGAUUUACUUGCAUGGCUAAACAACUUUUUUGUAGAUGUAUACCUCCUCUUAGUAACCGGUUUUUCUUUCACGGAAUUCGCACUGUGUACUGGUAUGUUUUGAAUCGUGAACGCGUCUUGUGUGACUCCCUUCGAUUUUUCGAGACUGAAUCUUGGUCUCAUCUGCUUCUGUCAUCAGUUAGUGCCUAAAUUCAUGUAAACUUGGUAAAAUUGAGGCUGAGCAAAAACCCAAAAAUAUUCACUUGUGAGGUACAUGAUUUCAACAUCUUUUUAUAUUCUUAAGACACUAUCAAUAUUUUCCAGGACAUCGAGCAACAGCGCGCCAUCAGUUGUGCUGACGAAGACGGAGAUUGUCGCCUAAUAUUGUUGUGUGGAUGGAACCUCCCAACAGUGAGUUGUGCGUAAUGGAAAAUAUUGUCAUACACUCUGGGAUUCCUUUUUUAGGGUUUCCAAGUGAAACUACUCGAUGUUUAGAUAACCUUCAAUUACUAUAAUAGUUUCAGUUCACGUGAAUUGUGGUUACACUCUACAAGUUGCGACAAGUGUGGCUAGGAGAUUUGACGAAUGGCUAAACCGUGGACUAACAAGCCCGAAAUCGUGUGUGGUCACUGUUUGAUUCAAAAGUGGGUUGAAACAGCAGGACUCGUCUCCAUGCAGGGCAUCUGGGGAGCAGUUGCAGUAACACGCAUAACAAGGCAGCUGUUGAUUAUUUCAAAGCUCACAACGCUGUGGUAACGGCUUACUACCUUUUCUAGCAGCACACUGGUCCAGACCCUCAUUCAUUAGACAAGUGUGCGUAAAAAAGCAUAUCGCAAAGAAUAUUGUCAUCGCCUGAUUAUCACCUUUUUCUUCUUAGAAGCUUGUGAAAUUCUUGGUAUGGUAGCACAAACUUCAGCCUUUUUGGUAGAGAAUAGCUUAUUCUGUGUGCAUCUGUUUUUUUAGGAUAUUGACUGGAAUUCCAAUUUUGCUUCAUGAAUGAUCUUCAUGUUCAAAGCAAGCAUAGCUUAUUCCCCAGAGUUAUGAAUGUGUACAUCUUCAGCAUUGAGGUUAUCACCACUUAUCAGAAUUCUUCCAUUGUCAUAA